CUUUCAAUCAUGUGAUAUGAAGCCUGAAAACUGACUCAGAUCCAGAAAUUAGACACAGGAAACUGUACCUGUCCCUGAAGAUGGAAAAGAGCUGAAGACCCUUUGAUGUCAGCAUCCCAGCCAAGGGGGUAUCAGCGCGUUCCUUGAAGAGUUUGCUUAUAAUCCUUCCAUCUGCGCGUUAGUCCUGGCAGCAGCAAUGACAGCUCCAUCUACAGCAUGAAAACAACGAAGGUAAACAGCCCAGGAGCUGCUGUAACCGAGAAUACAGGUGCUGUGAUGAGCUCCCAUCCCAGACGCCCACUGUGGCCCAGCCUCCUUGUUCCCAGUGCCCAGCUCCCAUACACAUAGCCCUCUCACACUCCAGCCGUCUUC
This 372-nucleotide long non-coding RNA is filed under the name Bos grunniens (domestic yak). RNAcentral describes it as "lncRNA (ENSBGRG00000015439.1)". The record is from RNAcentral. Lineage: Eukaryota; Metazoa; Chordata; Mammalia; Artiodactyla; Bovidae.